Molecule: ribosomal RNA, 460 nt
Filed under: uncultured bacterium
Lineage: Bacteria
Description: partial 16S ribosomal RNA
Rfam family: Bacterial small subunit ribosomal RNA
Source: RNAcentral
CCUACGGGAGGCAGCAGUGAGGAAUAUUGGUCAAUGGGAGGAAUCCUGAACCAGCCAUGCCGCGUGCAGGACGACGGCUCUACGAGUUGUAAACUGCUUUUGUACCGGGGUAAAGUGCCUUACGUGUAGGGUUUUGAAAGUAAGGUACGAAUAAGCAUCGGCCAACUCCGUGCCAGCCGCCGCGGUAAUACGGAGGAGGCGAGCGUUAGCCGGAUUUAUUGGGGUUAAAGGGUGCGGCGGUUGUUUUGUAAGUCAGCGGGGAAAGUUGGUGGCUCAACCAUAAAAUUGCCGUUGAAACUGGAGGACUUGAGUGUGUUUGAGGUAUGCGGAAUGCGUGGUGUAGCGGUGAAAUGCAUAGAUAUCACGCAGAACUCCGAUUGCGAAGGCAGCUUACCAAGCCAUAACUGACACUGAAGCACGAAAGCGUGGGGAUCAAACAGGAUUAGAUACCCUAGUAGUC